Molecule: ribosomal RNA, 440 nt
Filed under: uncultured bacterium
Lineage: Bacteria
Description: partial 16S ribosomal RNA
Rfam family: Bacterial small subunit ribosomal RNA
Source: RNAcentral
CCUACGGGUGGCAGCAGUGGGGAAUAUUGCACAAUGGGGGAAACCCUGAUGCAGCGACGCCGCGUGAGUGAAGAAGUAUCUCGGUACGUAAAGCUCUAUCAGCAGGGAAGAAAAUGACGGUACCUGACUAAGAAGCCCCGGCUAACUACGUGCCAGCAGCCGCGGUACUAAGUAGGGGGCAAGCGUUAUCCGGAUUUACUGGGUGGAAAGGGAGCGUAGACGGCAGCACAAGUCUGGCGUGAAAGCCCGGGGCUUAACCCCGGAACUGCUUUGGAAACUGUUCGACUGGAGUGCAGGAGGGGUAAGCGGAAUUCCUAGUGUAGCGGUGAAAUGCGUAGAUAUUAGGAGGAACACCGGUGGCGAAGGCGGCUUACUGGACUGUAACUGACGUUGAGGCUCGAAAGCGUGGGGAGCGAACAGGAUUAGAUACCCCUGUAGUC